RNAcentral lists this long non-coding RNA (327 nucleotides) under Rattus norvegicus (Norway rat). RNAcentral describes it as "long non-coding RNA NONRATT008606". The record is from RNAcentral. Lineage: Eukaryota; Metazoa; Chordata; Mammalia; Rodentia; Muridae.
CACAAACAUAACCUCACAUCCAAAUAUAAAUAUAACAGGAAGCAAUAAUCACUAUUCCUUACUAUCUCUCAACAUCAGUGGUCUCAACUCCUCAAUAAAAAGAUAUAGAUUAACAAACUGGAUACGCAACGAGGACCCUGCAUUUUGCUGCCUACAGGAAACACACCUCAGAGAAAAAGACAGACACUACAUCAGAAUUAAAGGCUGGAAAUCAACUUUCCAAACAAAUGGUCGGAAGAAGCAAGCUGGAGUAGCCAUUCUAAUAUCAAAUAAAAUCAAUUUUCAACUAAAAUUCAUCAAAAAGAUAAGGAAGGACACUUCAUAUUU